RNAcentral lists this transfer RNA (73 nucleotides) under Ornithorhynchus anatinus (platypus). It matches the Rfam family "tRNA". From Rfam's summary of the family: Transfer RNA (tRNA) molecules are approximately 80 nucleotides in length. Their secondary structure includes four short double-helical elements and three loops (D, anti-codon, and T loops). Further hydrogen bonds mediate the characteristic L-shaped molecular structure. tRNAs have two regions of fundamental functional importance: the anti-codon, which is responsible for specific mRNA codon recognition, and the 3' end, to which the tRNAs corresponding amino acid is attached (by aminoacyl-tRNA synthetases). tRNAs cope with the degeneracy of the genetic code in two manners: having more than one tRNA (with a specific anti-codon) for a particular amino acid; and 'wobble' base-pairing, i.e. permitting non-standard base-pairing at the 3rd anti-codon position. Lineage: Eukaryota; Metazoa; Chordata; Mammalia; Monotremata; Ornithorhynchidae. The record is from Rfam by way of RNAcentral.
GAUUUCAUAGCUUAGGGAUUAGAGCACUGGUCUUUUAAAUCAGGGGUCAUGGGUUCAAAUCUCACCAGGACCU